CACGAUUUUAAUAAGACGUAGAUAGGGAAAAAAACAAACUUUUGCUAAAUAAAAUGUUAUAUUAACACUUUUAAUAAAAAGAAAUCAAUAAAAGCGAUCGCUUACCGUUACUCUUGAAGAAUUAAUUCCAAAAAUAGCCGUCGGUAGCGUAGACUUUUUAAAAAAACAAUUUUUCGUCUUUCGAACGGCGUUUUCCUAUCUCUUUCCUUAUUAAAUUUCAGAACGACACUUGCCAGCGCUCGCCGGAAGUGAGAAUUCCGUGUGACACAAAACAAUCAGCAAUUUGACGUGAGAUUCGUAUCUGUACUUACCUCAUCUGUGCCUUCGGCGACGAAUUGCUGCCGCAGCGAGCGAGCCUCAAGCGAGCGAGCAAGGCAGCAGAUCCUAAUUUUGUUUUGUGGGUCAAAAUCAAAAUUUUCUAUUUGGCGCAUUGCAUGACGGUAUCGGUGAAUUUUGACCGUGGUGCAGCGCGGUCAGGCAUAAGGCAAAUAGGCAAUGUGAUCAUCUUUCAUAUUUUUCUUCUUUUAUGGAAAGCCAUAGCUGGCUUAAAGUGAUCAAACGGCAUUUUGGCAGCGAAUGCGCCAAGCAGCAUGAACGCGACUGAAAUACGAUAUUAAUAAAAUCUUGAAUGUGCCGUAUGAUUUAAUUAUGUUUUAGGAUUUAAAUAUGCUUAAUUAGUCAUUUGUAUUUAUACUUGUACUGCAUCACAAGUCAGUGCGUAAGUGAACAGAUUCCUCAUGUGAGGUUGUCUUGUAUAUAUUUUUGCCUUCUUUGAUAAACAUUAUUUAAUAAACACGCAAAUUUGAAUAGUGAGACGCACAGUCGCACAUGUUAAAUGUCACCUGUAUAUCAUUGUCAUUGCCCUUGGCCCUGGUCUAAUUAGUACGUUUUUGAAAAUGUUGAUGUAUAAAUUAUGGAUGAUUCCAAUUCAUUACAAAUAUUUCUUAUUCUUGUUCUUUAAAUACUAAAGAUUUGGGAACAAUUCUAUACCAAGGCAGCAUUAACUACCCUGUGGGUAAACUAGUUUAA
Paramuricea clavata is the source of this 1029-nucleotide non-coding RNA. Lineage: Eukaryota; Metazoa; Cnidaria; Anthozoa; Malacalcyonacea; Plexauridae. The record is from the annotation of a GenBank genome assembly.